CACGAUUAGACAAAAAAGAAGUGUAAAGAUUUUGGUGUAGUAAAAUCAUAAUGCUACAAAAGAAUCACGCACGCCACCCCCCAAAAAAGGCAUAAUGGUAAAAAAAGCAUAUUUUCAAAGUAAACCUAAGAUACGUACCUGGUGAUGCCAUUGAUGAGUUUGUAUGGUAUUGAGAUCUUAAAGUUCACUUUUAUUGAUGGGGCUCUCAGAAAAGACCAGCUUCAUCUUUU
This 230-nucleotide long non-coding RNA is filed under the name Actinidia chinensis (golden kiwifruit). RNAcentral's name for it is "long non-coding RNA (ACHI_LNC003195)". The record is from RNAcentral. Lineage: Eukaryota; Viridiplantae; Streptophyta; Magnoliopsida; Ericales; Actinidiaceae.